This is a non-coding RNA of Tinamus guttatus (white-throated tinamou), 333 nucleotides long. The record is from RefSeq and is a predicted model, not a curated record. Lineage: Eukaryota; Metazoa; Chordata; Aves; Tinamiformes; Tinamidae.
AACAGAAUUUCAGCGGCUGUUGAAACUUGUAUUUCAGCAGCAGUUUUGCAAUAGAUUUGUAUUGAUCAACUGCUGAGGCAGCAAGGUGGUACAUGCCAGAGCCCUGCUCUUCCAGCCCUAGUGCGUCCUCCCGCUCCACCUUUGCAGCCAUCGCUGGAUAUUAAACCAUUUCUUCCAUUUCCUCUGGACACUGCCGCAGCAGUCAAUCUCUUCCCCAACUUCAAUGCAAUGGACCCAAUUCAAAAAGCAGUAAUAAAUCAUACAUUUGGGGUUCCUCUUCCUCAUCGAAGAAAGCAAAUCAUAUCAUGCAACAUUUGCCAGCUGAGAUUUAAU